Molecule: non-coding RNA, 353 nt
Organism: Clostridium pasteurianum
Lineage: Bacteria; Bacillati; Bacillota; Clostridia; Eubacteriales; Clostridiaceae
Rfam family: Bacterial RNase P class A
About the family: Ribonuclease P (RNase P) is a ubiquitous endoribonuclease, found in archaea, bacteria and eukarya as well as chloroplasts and mitochondria. Its best characterised activity is the generation of mature 5'-ends of tRNAs by cleaving the 5'-leader elements of precursor-tRNAs.
Source: Rfam
CGAGUAAGCCAGACAAUCGCUGCUGCUUUUGCAGGAGAGGAAAGUCCGAGCUCCAUAGGGCAGGGUGCCAGGUAACUCCUGGUGGAGGCAACUCUAAGGAAAGUGCAACAGAGAUAUACCGCUAAAGGUAGCUUUUAGCUAUACUAGUAAGGGUGGAAAGGCGAGGUAAGAGCUCACCAGCACAUUGGCAACUAUGUGGCUAUGUAAACCCCAUCUGGAGCAAGAUCGAAUAGGAAGACUUAAUGGAAUUGCCCGUUCCGUCUUCGGGUGUAUCGCUUGAGCCUAUAUGGUGACAAUAGGCCUAGAUAGAUGAUUGUCUAACACAGAACUCGGCUUACAGGGUUGCUCGUCCA